CAAAAGAUAGUUURAGUAAAAUGCUAGUUUUGGGGGCUGGCGACGGGGGUUACAAGCCUCUCUUUUGA
This 68-nucleotide transfer RNA is filed under the name Gallotia atlantica (Atlantic lizard). Its description in RNAcentral is "tRNA-Pro". The record is from RNAcentral. Lineage: Eukaryota; Metazoa; Chordata; Lepidosauria; Squamata; Lacertidae.